This 708-nucleotide ribosomal RNA is filed under the name uncultured Enterobacteriaceae bacterium. RNAcentral's name for it is "bacterial SSU rRNA". It matches the Rfam family "Bacterial small subunit ribosomal RNA", at positions 794 to 1502 of the family's 1533-position model. The record is from RNAcentral. Lineage: Bacteria; Pseudomonadati; Pseudomonadota; Gammaproteobacteria; Enterobacterales; Enterobacteriaceae.
GUCACGCUGUAAACGAUGUCGAUUUGGAGUUUGUUGCCUAGAGUGAUGGGCUCCGAAGCUAACGCGAUAAAUCGACCGCCUGGGGAGUACGGCCGCAAGGUUAAAACUCAAAUGAAUUGACGGGGGCCCGCACAAGCGGUGGAGCAUGUGGUUUAAUUUGAUGCAACGCGAAGAACCUUACCUGGUCUUGACAUCCAUAGAAUUCUGCAGAGAUGUGGGGGUGCCUUCGGGAACUAUGAGACAGGUGCUGCGUGGCUGUCGUCAGCUCGUGUUGUGAAAUGUUGGGUUAAGUCCCGCAACGAGCGCAACCCUUAUUCUUUGUUGCCAGCGAUUUGGUCGGGAACUCAAAGGAGACUGCCGUUGAUAAAGCGGAGGAAGGUGGGGACGACGUCAAGUCAUCAUGGCCCUUACGACCAGGGCUACACACGUGCUACAAUGGCGUAUACAAAGGGAAGCGAAGGUGCGAGCUGGAGCGGAUCUCAUAAAGUACGUCUAAGUUCGGAUUGGAGUCUGCAACUCGACUCCAUGAAGUCGGAAUCGCUAGUAAUCGUAGAUCAGAAUGCUACGGUGAAUACGUUCCCGGGCCUUGUACACACCGCCCGUCACACCAUGGGAGUGGGUUGCACCAGAAGUAGAUAGCUUAACCGCGAGGGGGGCGUUUACCACGGUGUGAUUCAUGACUGGGGUGAAGUCGUAACAAGGUAACCA